RNAcentral lists this ribosomal RNA (733 nucleotides) under uncultured Enterobacteriaceae bacterium. RNAcentral describes it as "bacterial SSU rRNA". It matches the Rfam family "Bacterial small subunit ribosomal RNA", at positions 767 to 1502 of the family's 1533-position model. Lineage: Bacteria; Pseudomonadati; Pseudomonadota; Gammaproteobacteria; Enterobacterales; Enterobacteriaceae. The record is from RNAcentral.
AGCAAACAGGAUUAGAUACCUGGUAGUCCACGCUGUAAACGAUGUCGAUUUGGAGUUUGUUGCCUAGAGUGAUGGGCUCCGAAGCUAACGCGAUAAAUCGACCGCUGGGGAGUACGGCCGCAAGGUUAAAACUCAAAUGAAUUGACGGGGGCCCGCACAAGCGGUGGAGCAUGUGGUUUAAUUCGAUGCAACGCGAAGAACCUUACCUGGUCUUGACAUCCAUAGAAUUCUGCAGAGAUGUGGGAGUGCCUUCGGGAACUAUGAGACAGGUGCUGCAUGGCUGUCGUCAGCUCGUGUUGUGAAAUGUUGGGUUAAGUCCCGCAACGAGCGCAACCCUUAUUCUUUGUUGCCAGCGAUUUGGUCGGGAACUCAAAGGAGACUGCCGUUGAUAAAGCGGAGGAAGGUGGGGACGACGUCAAGUCAUCAUGGCCCUUACGACCAGGGCUACACACGUGCUACAAUGGCGUAUACAAAGGGAAGCGAAGGUGCGAGCUGGAGCGGAUCUCAUAAAGUACGUCUAAGUUCGGAUUGGAGUCUGCAACUCGACUCCAUGAAGUCGGAAUCGCUAGUAAUCGUAGAUCAGAAUGCUACGGUGAAUACGUUCCCGGGCCUUGUACACACCGCCCGUCACACCAUGGGAGUGGGUUGCACCAGAAGUAGAUAGCUUAACCGCGAGGGGGGCGUUUACCACGGUGUGAUUCAUGACUGGGGUGAAGUCGUAACAAGGUAACCA